RNAcentral lists this ribosomal RNA (253 nucleotides) under uncultured bacterium. RNAcentral describes it as "partial 16S ribosomal RNA". It matches the Rfam family "Bacterial small subunit ribosomal RNA", at positions 524 to 776 of the family's 1533-position model. The record is from RNAcentral.
UACGAAGGGGGCUAGCGUUGUUCGGAAUUACUGGGCGUAAAGCGCACGUAGGCGGAUCUUUAAGUCAGGGGUGAAAUCCCGGGACUCAACCUCGGAACUGCCUUUGAUACAGCAAGUCUUGAGUUCGAGAGAGGUGGGUGGAAUUCCUAGUGUAGAGGUGAAAUUCGUAGAUAUUAGGAAGAACACCGGUGGCGAAGGCGGCCCACUGGCUCGAUACUGACGCUGAGGUGCGAAAGCGUGGGGAGCGAACAGG